This 677-nucleotide ribosomal RNA is filed under the name Pilorcula trifilaris. RNAcentral's name for it is "partial 12S ribosomal RNA". Lineage: Eukaryota; Metazoa; Mollusca; Gastropoda; Stylommatophora; Orculidae. The record is from RNAcentral.
CCGAAAAUGGAUCCUUAUCCUUUUUAGAUCAAGAUACUUAAUUUGAUGUAGUUAAUUACCCUAAUAAGUCUAUGUAUAUGAAAAUUAAAGUCGCCUCAGUCAUUUUACUUAAACCAUAAUAAAAAUAUUAAUUUAGAUUCUAUUGUUGUAUGUGAUUAAUUAGGUGCCAGCAAUCGCGGUUAUACCUAUUACUUAAAGUAAUUUAGAUUAAGCUAAGUUUUAAUUCUUUAUAAGUUUUUAAUCUUUAGUGAAAUAAAAUUAAAUUGAUUACUAUUUGAAGUAAAAUCUAAACCAAAUACAGAGCACUACUAAAACAAGGAUUAGAUACCCUUUUAUUAUAUUCUGGAUAAAACUUAAAGCUUGAGAAGUAAGACUGAAACUCAAAAAUUAUGGCGGCUACUAAAAAUAAGCAGGGGAACUUACCUAUUAAAUGACAACCACCAAGCUAACACAACUUAAAAAGAAAGUUUGUAUGCCGUCGUUUAUAAGCUGUUCUUAGAACAGCUUAAGUUUACUUAAUAAAUAAAACAGAUCAAGGUGCAACUAAUAUUUAAGAGAAAAGGCGAGUUACAAUAGAUUAUUUCUCUCUUACAACUGCUUUAAAAGCACUAAAGAGUUGGACUUGCAAGUAAUAGACAAAAUAGUAUAUAAAACAUGAAUCUCUGUUUUAAUAGUGC